CUGGAGUAGCAUGAGAGAUUUAUAACUCUCAAGAUGAUCCAAUGGAUCGAUGGAGCCAUCAUAGGGCUCCAACUGUGGUAUCUUGAACCGAGUAGGGAUCUUAUUCUUCUAUAAUAUGGUGAGAAAAUGGUGGUUGCAAGUUGAAACUAAGGCCAUCCUUCUGUGCUUGGCCUCCUUCCUCUAUGGCUUCAAGUCGGUGGUUGGUCUCUUAGAC
Molecule: long non-coding RNA, 214 nt
Filed under: Elaeis guineensis (African oil palm)
Lineage: Eukaryota; Viridiplantae; Streptophyta; Magnoliopsida; Arecales; Arecaceae
Description: long non-coding RNA (EGUI_LNC039213)
Source: RNAcentral